This 496-nucleotide ribosomal RNA is filed under the name uncultured bacterium. RNAcentral describes it as "partial 16S ribosomal RNA". It matches the Rfam family "Bacterial small subunit ribosomal RNA", at positions 28 to 506 of the family's 1533-position model. The record is from RNAcentral.
GAUGAACGCUGGCGGCGUGCCUAAUACAUGCAAGUCGAGCGAACGGACGAGAAGCUUGCUUCUCUGAUGUUAGCGGCGGACGGGUGAGUAACACGUGGAUAACCUACCUAUAAGACUGGGAUAACUUCGGGAAACCGGAGCUAAUACCGGAUAAUAUUUUGAACCGCAUGGUUCAAAAGUGAAAGACGGUCUUGCUGUCACUUAUAGAUGGAUCCGCGCUGCAUUAGCUAGUUGGUAAGGUAACGGCUUACCAAGGCAACGAUGCAUAGCCGACCUGAGAGGGUGAUCGGCCACACUGGAACUGAGACACGGUCCAGACUCCUACGGGAGGCAGCAGUAGGGAAUCUUCCGCAAUGGGCGAAAGCCUGACGGAGCAACGCCGCGUGAGUGAUGAAGGUCUUCGGAUCGUAAAACUCUGUUAUUAGGGGAGAACAUAUGUGUAAGUAACUGUGCACAUCUUGACGGUACCUAAUCAGAAAGCCACGGCUAACUACGU